Molecule: non-coding RNA, 1205 nt
Organism: Macaca mulatta (Rhesus monkey)
Lineage: Eukaryota; Metazoa; Chordata; Mammalia; Primates; Cercopithecidae
Source: RefSeq, a predicted model, not a curated record
ACGCCACGCCGCGCCGUGGUCCCUGCUUUAGAAAAGUCCCAGGAAACGGCGAGGAGGAAGAAACCUUGGAAGCAGCGCCGUGAACGGUUCCCCACCCGAAGGAAGAGGCUCGUUCCCUUUUGGCUCCAGGACUAUUCGGGGCGGGCCUGCUGCCCUGAAACCAGCUCCAUCUCCCGAAGACCGAAAGCCGGGGUGUCGCUGGGACCAGGGGCGAGACGUCGAACACGUGGGGAGGAUGAGAAGGCGCUGGAGACGGAGGGUGUGGUCGCGGAUGGGAAUGUACUGAAGCCACUGAGCUGUGCGAGUAAAAAUGGUUGACAUUCUGGAGGCUGGAUGUCCAAGAUGAAGGCACUGCCAAACUCCACAUCUGGAGAGGGUGGUUUCCUGACUCGCAGACGACGUCUCCUCCCUGUGUCCUCACAUGGCCUCUACUCUGUGCGCACCUGGAGAGAGAGCUCCCCUGUCCCCCCCUCUUCUGAUGAGGUCACCAGCUCUAUCAGAAGAACUUUUUCUGAGAGCCUGUCAUGUCCAUGGAAAGCAGCUGAAUUAAAUCCUGGAGGUGACUGUCCCCCUAGGAGAUGACGUGGAUGGGGAAAUAGUCCAUAUGCAGCUCAGAGACCCUUGAAGCGGCAUCCGAGGAGGCGUGGUCACGGGGCAGGCGACCGACACCAGUGAGUCCAGAAGGCCAGCGUGUGCGCCGCUGCAUGUCUCCAGAAACUUCAGGAAACAGACACCAUGCCCGAGAGGUGAGAGUGAUUCCAAGGGUGCAGAAACAGGAGCAAGGGCUGGGGCUGGAAGGGAGGGUGGAAGCCAGGAGAGCCAGGCCUGCCGGGGGAGCUUAGGCAAACAGCUGAUCCCAGUGGAGCUUGGAGGGGAGGCUGGGUGCAGACACAAAGGCUGAUGGACAAACUAAAGGAAGCAUCAGAGAUUGUUGAGCAAGAAAGUGACCAAAAAAAGAAAAACAAUCUGGCGAUGGUGACGAUCCCAGACGAAUCUGCUUUUUCCAGGUUACUUUUCAACACGGUAGGCAGAGUCCUUUUUUUUGAUACAUAAAUAUUAUAUAUAUUUAUGGUACAUAACAUGUUUUAAAAUAUGUAUUCAUUGUUGAAUUAUGAAAUCAAGCUAAUAACAUAUGCACAGCCUCACAUACUUACCAUUUUUGUGUGGUGAGAACACUUCAACACUACUCUUAGCAAUUUUCUUUC